Non-coding RNA from Chlorocebus sabaeus (green monkey), 1645 nucleotides. The record is from RefSeq and is a predicted model, not a curated record. Lineage: Eukaryota; Metazoa; Chordata; Mammalia; Primates; Cercopithecidae.
CUGAGAGAGUAAGCACAAGACACCAGGGAGCCAGACCCCUGCCGCUCCCCUGCCACAGGAUAUGAGUAGGAGCCUCAGCUGGUUUGAGCAGCUGGAUGUGCUUCUCAACACUACUGAUGGAAAUGUGGCCCAGAUUAAGCAGUAGCUGUAUCCUCUUGGGGUCUCCAACUCAGCCGGGGACCUGGCUGGGACCUGGAUUUCCUCUCAUCACUUGCCUCUGCAGUCAGGAGUCCAAGCUCAACAGCCUUGGGCUUUAGAGACUCCCACAGUCCUACAAAGACUGAGCUGCCCUGAGUCCUAGAGCCCAUCCUCUCUCUGGGAUGAGGUUACUAUUCUCUGAUCCUAGCUUCAAUCUCAGGCUCAGGUGAGGCUUGGAAUCCUUGGUGUGUAUAUGUGAUGUUUGUGUGAGAUGAGGAUAUUAGGGAUUGGGAAAAGCUGUUAUACAGUAGCUCAUAUGUUUUUUUCUGCCUGGGUAGGUGACUGAGGCACUAAGGCAGGCAGUGCAGGGCCUGCUAGAAGAGCGAGAGCAGCAGAAGUACCAGCUCAGUAUCUUGGAAUGUAUCUGGCCAGUUAUUUUCUUCAUACACACAGCUUCAUACGUAUGCAUACAAUUUUGCCACACACCUGUUGCAUGUGCACAUGUGUCUUGUUUUGCAAGUAGAGUAUCUAGGGUCUUGUGAAACUCUUAGAGAGGAUGAUCCCCAACUUGUCCCACUACAGCAUCACUAAGGUUGCUGCAGGGGGCCCCAAAGGGGAGGGCUUUUCUCCUGGAGCAAUGCCUGGAGGAGCGGAGAAGGUAACUGCAGGACCUUCGGAGCCAGGUGUGGGAGAAAGCCCAAGCCCAGAUGCAAACAGGACCAGGAGAAUGCAGUACUACCAAUGGCCUUCCUCAGGGGCUGCAGACUGAAAUAGCACUGCUGUCACUCCUACAGUGCUGUGGGAGGAGUCAGAGAUUAUGCAGAAGGAAUUGAAAUUGCUGCAGUACCAGUUGAAGCUCUUCUUCCUAACCCUUCUGCUCCCGGCCAUGAGAAACUAUCCUUGCCCACAUGAGGGUUCCAAGUGUGCUGAAGAGGACAGUCAUGGCGAGAGGUUUGGUUCCACCUGAGCCCAUGAUCUGGCAGAUGUUGGAGCAGUUGCAAAGUGGCCAGGAAGGCAAGGGUCAUACCCUGGAGGCUGCCAGGACAGAGGACCAAGAUGCCUGGAGGGAACACAACCUCCUCAGGACCUCCAUACAUGUUCUCCAAUCUAAGCUGCCUCUGGCCACUACCUUCACCAUGUCUGUUUCUUCAUCUAGCUUUGAAUUCAGUCUUCUGGACAGUAACAGUAGCUGGGAACUUUUAUGGAAGCCAGAUCCCCAGAGGAGCACUCUUCCUAUACUGGAGCCCAGCAGCUUUCAGCUCCAUGCCCAGAGUCUUAAGCAAGAGGGCCUAUUCCUUUGGGGCCCCAAGAUGCUCCUGAAUGACCUGUAAGGACUCGUUAAGAGUAGUAAGAUGAAGGCUUCUUUGCCCACCCUCCCCUCCAAGGCCCUGUUUCUGGACUGCCUGCCUCUACCCUCUUGAUGUAGCUAUUAUUUGUCCUCUUUACUGAGGCUUUUCACUGCUUGCCCAUCCUUGUUGCUGGGCUGCAAUAAAAUGGUUUAACUCUC